This 2894-nucleotide long non-coding RNA is filed under the name Zea mays. Its description in RNAcentral is "long non-coding RNA (ZMAY_LNC001212)". Lineage: Eukaryota; Viridiplantae; Streptophyta; Magnoliopsida; Poales; Poaceae. The record is from RNAcentral.
AGCCUGAGCUUUUCAUCCACCUUGUCCCAGACAAGGCCACGAACACGCUCUCCAUCAUCGACAGCGGCAUCGGCAUGACCAAGUCCGACCUUGUCAACAACCUCGGUACCAUCGCCAGGUCCGGGACGAAGGAGUUCAUGGAAGCUCUUGCUGCCGGCGCUGAUGUGUCCAUGAUUGGCCAGUUCGGCGUCGGUUUCUACUCUGCCUACCUCGUCGCCGAUAGAGUUGUCGUGACCACCAAGCACAACGAUGACGAGCAGUACGUGUGGGAGUCCCAAGCGGGCGGGUCGUUCACUGUUACUCGUGACACGUCAGGGGAGCAGCUUGGCAGGGGCACUAAGAUCACACUGUUCCUUAAGGACGAUCAGGUAUGCUGCAAGCUGCUUCAAUCAAAGAUCGUUAUUAUGUUUUUUGUUGCAAUGCAUAAUGUAAUCGUGUUCUAGUGGCACAAGCCAAGUGUGCCUGUGUUUUGUCUAGCUGUCCUUGUCCUUUAACUAGUGACUGUUCUGUUUUGAUUCUAGAAUAGAUAGAUCACUGUUAUGCCUGAUGUCAUCUACGAGUCCUAAGAUGGUAAAGCUUAUGAGAAAUAUAGGCUUGUGCUAAUUUUGGCUUAUGGAUGCAAACACCAAUAGUUUUGGGUCAUCAAGUUGUCCCACAAUUUGCUAAAAUGAAUAAUAAUGGCACCACCUCAUUAAAUUUUAGGGAGAGGAUUCACUUAAAUGGUGCGCUAGUAUUAUUAGUUACUGAUCCAAAGUAAGCCAUGGGUAGAACACUUGCAUCCCCAUGUAGAGUAUUUCACAAGUGUUAUUUGCUAUAGCUUACUUGGCUUAUCUACAUUUACCUUGAUAUUCCAUCAUAUACACAUUUGUGGAACAGCUCAACAUGAUCUUUUGCAAAUUGUGAUCUUAAUUACAAGCCAACCUUUUUAUCAGGGAGAUGUUGCACUGCAAAUUAGCACUUGCAUACUUAAUGAAGCAUCCAAGUUUGUUAAAUAACUGUGUUACAUAAUCUAGUCAGUUGUUCAAAUAAUGUGUUUAUCAUUUUGAAGUGAACAUGCAAUUGUUUUGUGCUGUGGGAGUAGGUGGCACAUAUUUUGGGAUACAUUGAUUUUUAUAUAUGCUUGCUUUGCUGCAUCCAUUAAAUGUGCAAAAUGUUCUUUAUAAUGUCCUGUAAAGAAAAUAAAUUGGUUAAAUAUAGAGCCUUUAAGCUAACGGUACAAACUACAUGAACUUAUUCUCUUGUCAUCAAUUGCCUCCUUGGUUAUUUAGAAAUGUAUUUAGAUUAUUCUGUAUUGAAUUGUUUUUUCUGUGGGAGCUGCUGGUGUUACUUGUAAUCACAUUUCAACUUCUCUCUUGCAGCUGGAGUACCUUGAGGAGCGUCGCCUCAAGGAUCUGGUCAAGAAGCACUCUGAGUUCAUCAGCUACCCCAUCUCCCUGUGGACUGAAAAGACAACAGAGAAGGAAAUUUCUGACGACGAAGACGAGGAAGAGAAGAAAGAUGCUGAGGAAGGAAAGGUUGAGGAUGUUGAUGAGAAGGAAGAGAAAGAAAAGAAGAAAAAGAAGAUCAAGGAGGUUUCUCAUGAGUGGUCAUUGGUCAACAAGCAGAAGCCCAUAUGGAUGAGGAAGCCAGAAGAAAUCACAAAAGAAGAAUAUGCUGCCUUCUAUAAGAGCUUGACAAAUGACUGGGAGGAGCAUCUGGCUGUGAAGCACUUCUCUGUGGAGGGUCAACUGGAGUUCAAGGCUGUUCUCUUUGUUCCUAAGAGGGCCCCCUUUGAUCUCUUUGACACCAAGAAGAAGCAAAACAACAUCAAGCUCUAUGUGCGCAGGGUGUUCAUCAUGGACAACUGCGAAGAGCUGAUCCCUGAGUGGCUGAGCUUCGUUAAGGGUAUUGUUGACUCUGAGGACCUUCCCCUCAAUAUCUCUCGUGAGACUCUUCAGCAGAACAAGAUCCUGAAGGUGAUCAGGAAGAACCUUGUGAAGAAGUGUGUUGAGCUCUUCUUUGAGAUUGCUGAGAACAAGGAGGACUACAACAAGUUUUACGAGGCUUUCUCCAAGAACCUCAAGCUUGGCAUCCACGAGGACUCGCAGAACAGGACCAAGAUCGCCGAGCUUCUGAGAUACCACUCCACCAAGAGUGGUGAUGAGCUGACCAGCCUCAAGGACUACGUGACCAGGAUGAAGGAGGGACAGAAUGACAUAUACUAUAUCACUGGUGAGAGCAAGAAGGCAGUGGAGAACUCCCCCUUCCUUGAGAAGCUGAAGAAGAGGGGCUAUGAGGUUCUGUACAUGGUUGAUGCCAUUGACGAGUAUGCUGUUGGUCAGCUCAAGGAGUUUGAGGGCAAGAAGCUUGUCUCUGCCACCAAGGAGGGUCUGAAGCUUGAUGAGACUGAGGACGAGAAGAAGAGGAAGGAGGAGCUGAAGGAGAAGUUUGAGGGGCUGUGCAAGGUCAUCAAGGAGGUUCUGGGUGACAAAGUUGAGAAGGUGGUGGUGUCUGAUCGCGUUGUGGACUCACCGUGCUGCCUUGUGACUGGCGAGUAUGGCUGGACCGCCAACAUGGAGAGGAUCAUGAAGGCACAGGCCCUGAGGGACUCGAGCAUGGCGGGCUACAUGUCGAGCAAAAAGACAAUGGAGAUCAACCCAGAGAACCCUAUCAUGGAUGAGCUCCGCAAGCGUGCCGAGGCUGACAAGAAUGACAAGUCAGUCAAGGAUCUCGUGAUGCUGCUGUUCGAGACUGCUCUCCUGACCUCCGGCUUCAGCCUGGAUGACCCCAACACCUUCGGCAACCGGAUCCACCGCAUGCUCAAACUCGGUCUGAGCAUCGAUGAGGACGAGCCUGUUGAGGCAGAGGCUGAGAUGCCUCAGCUUGAGGACGACGCUGGUGAAAGCAAGAUGGAG